RNAcentral lists this ribosomal RNA (653 nucleotides) under uncultured bacterium. RNAcentral describes it as "bacterial SSU rRNA". It matches the Rfam family "Bacterial small subunit ribosomal RNA", at positions 152 to 823 of the family's 1533-position model. The record is from RNAcentral.
AGAAAUAGGUGCUAAUACCGCAUGAGCGCACAGCUCCGCAUGGAGCAGUGUGAAAAACUCCGGUGGUAUACGAUGGAUCCGCGUCUGAUUAGCCAGUUGGCGGGGUAACGGCCCACCAAAGCGACGAUCAGUAGCCGGCCUGAGAGGGUGGACGGCCACAUUGGGACUGAGACACGGCCCAAACUCCUACGGGAGGCAGCAGUGGGGAAUAUUGCACAAUGGGGGAAACCCUGAUGCAGCGACGCCGCGUGAGUGAAGAAGUAUCUCGGUACGUAAAGCUCUAUCAGCAGGGAAGAAAAUGACGGUACCUGACUAAGAAGCCCCGGCUAACUACGUGCCAGCAGCCGCGGUAAUACGUAGGGGGCAAGCGUUAUCCGGAUUUACUGGGUGUAAAGGGAGCGUAGACGGCAGCACAAGUCUGGAGUGAAAUCCCGGGGCUUAACCCCGGAACUGCUUUGGAAACUGUGCGGCUGGAGUGCAGGAGGGGUAAGCGGAAUUCCUAGUGUAGCGGUGAAAUGCGUAGAUAUUAGGAGGAACACCGGUGGCGAAGGCGGCUUACUGGACUGUAACUGACGUUGAGGCUCGAAAGCGUGGGGAGCAAACAGGAUUAGAUACCCUGGUAGUCCACGCCGUAAACGAUGAUUACUAGGUGU